GUGCUCGCUUCGGCAGCACAUAUACUAAAAUUGGAACGAUACAGAGAAGAUUAGCAUGCCCCCUGCGCAAGGCUGAUGUUUUAUAAACAAGAAAAUCUAUCAAUUAUC
This is a small nuclear RNA of Myotis lucifugus (little brown bat), 108 nucleotides long. Lineage: Eukaryota; Metazoa; Chordata; Mammalia; Chiroptera; Vespertilionidae. The record is from Ensembl.